AUGUUGAGUGGACAAACGGCGGUUAGUGGCAGCAGCAGCAGCAUCAUCAUCGUCAGCCGCGGCGUCGAGCAGGGGAGCGGGAGCGGGGAGCAGAACCAGUGGCGGCCGAUCGAGGAGGAAGAGGUGGAGCCAGAGUUCAGGGACAUCCACGCGCUGAGCCCGCCCCGCGCGCUGAGCCUGUACCGCCGGAGCCAGCCGGGCAGCAGGGACUCUUGGGGGUCUGCGGCGGGUGCAGGGGGGAGCAGACACACGUCGAUCCGCUCCGUCGGGAGCGACACCGCCCCCAGCGAGCUCUUCCCUACUAUGAGCAGAGAGUUCUCGGCCAUGGUCGCCGCAGCAGCCAGCGCUAACGCCUCGUCCUCCGCCGCAGCGGGUCACAGGGAGAGCGUGGACCGCGUGGCGAACGAGGACGCGCUGGAGAGAAUCGGCGAGGAGGAGCUGGAGGAGACGAACCCGCUCGCCAUCGUGCCGGACAGCAACCCCAUCCCGUCGCCGCGCCGGGGCCUGUCGCCGCGCCCGGUGGCCGGCGGCGAGGUGGCGGUGCCUGGUGCCGGACAGGGCGACGAGGUGUCGGUGGGGCAGGUGAAGAAGGACGAGGUGGAGACCAAGAUCGCGGCGUGGCAGAUCGCGGAGGUCGCCAAGGUCAACAACCGCUUCAAGCGCGAGGAGGUCGUCAUCAACGGGUGGGAGGGCGACCAGGUCGAGAAGGCCAGCGCAUGGCUCAACAAGUACGAGAGGAAGCUGGAGGAGAAGCGGGCCAAGGCGAUGGAGAAGGCGCAGAACGAGGUGGCCAGGGCCCGGCGGAAGGCGGAGGACAGGCGCGCGUCGGCGGAGGCCAAGAGGGGCACCAAGGUGGCGCGCGUGCUGGAGCUCGCCAACUUCAUGAGGGCCGUCGGCAGGGCGCCCACCAAGCGCUCCUUCUUCUGA
RNAcentral lists this ribosomal RNA (927 nucleotides) under Triticum aestivum (bread wheat). Its description in RNAcentral is "partial small subunit ribosomal RNA". Lineage: Eukaryota; Viridiplantae; Streptophyta; Magnoliopsida; Poales; Poaceae. The record is from RNAcentral.